GUUUUUUUGUCUUUUUAC
This 18-nucleotide small RNA is filed under the name Arabidopsis thaliana (thale cress). Its description in RNAcentral is "ATSL182850". Lineage: Eukaryota; Viridiplantae; Streptophyta; Magnoliopsida; Brassicales; Brassicaceae. The record is from RNAcentral.